GAUCAUGGCUCAGAUUGAACGCUGGCGGCAGGCCUAACACAUGCAAGUCGAACGGUAACAGAAAGCAGCUUGCUGCUUUGCUGACGAGUGGCGGACGGGUGAGUAAUGUCUGGGAAACUGCCCGAUGGAGGUGGAUAACUACUGGAAACGGUAGCUAAUACCGCAUAACGUCGCAAGACCAAAGGAGGGGGACCUUCGGGCCUCUUGCCAUCGGAUGUGCCCAGAUGGGAUUAGCUAGG
RNAcentral lists this ribosomal RNA (239 nucleotides) under uncultured bacterium. RNAcentral's name for it is "partial 16S ribosomal RNA". It matches the Rfam family "Bacterial small subunit ribosomal RNA", at positions 15 to 249 of the family's 1533-position model. The record is from RNAcentral.